GCCGAGAUAGCUCAGUUGGUAGAGCACGUCCUUGGUAAGGACGAGGUCACCGGUUCAAUCCCGGUUCUCGGCUCCA
RNAcentral lists this transfer RNA (76 nucleotides) under Candidatus Kaiserbacteria bacterium. RNAcentral describes it as "tRNA-Thr". It matches the Rfam family "tRNA". From Rfam's summary of the family: Transfer RNA (tRNA) molecules are approximately 80 nucleotides in length. Their secondary structure includes four short double-helical elements and three loops (D, anti-codon, and T loops). Further hydrogen bonds mediate the characteristic L-shaped molecular structure. tRNAs have two regions of fundamental functional importance: the anti-codon, which is responsible for specific mRNA codon recognition, and the 3' end, to which the tRNAs corresponding amino acid is attached (by aminoacyl-tRNA synthetases). tRNAs cope with the degeneracy of the genetic code in two manners: having more than one tRNA (with a specific anti-codon) for a particular amino acid; and 'wobble' base-pairing, i.e. permitting non-standard base-pairing at the 3rd anti-codon position. The record is from RNAcentral. Lineage: Bacteria; Candidatus Kaiseribacteriota.